This 303-nucleotide ribosomal RNA is filed under the name uncultured bacterium. Its description in RNAcentral is "partial 16S ribosomal RNA". It matches the Rfam family "Bacterial small subunit ribosomal RNA", at positions 507 to 807 of the family's 1533-position model. The record is from RNAcentral.
AGCAGUAGCCGCGGUAAUACGAAGGGUGCAAGCGUUACUCGGAAUUACUGGGCGUAAAGCGUGCGUAGGUGGUGGUUUAAGUCCGUUGUGAAAGCCCUGGGCUCAACCUGGGAAUUGCAGUGGAUACUGGGUCACUAGAGUGUGGUAGAGGAUAGUGGAAUUUCCGGUGUAGCAGUGAAAUGCGUUGAGAUCGGAAAGAACACCAACGGCGAAAGCACUCUGCUGGGCCGACACUGACACUGAGAGACGAAAGCUAGGGGAGCAAAUGGGAUUAGAUACCCCCGUAGUCCCUGUCUCUUAUAC